This is a long non-coding RNA of Carassius gibelio (silver crucian carp), 339 nucleotides long. RefSeq lists it as uncharacterized. The transcript has 3 exons. NCBI's taxonomy places the organism in Eukaryota, Metazoa, Chordata, Actinopteri, Cypriniformes, Cyprinidae. The record is from RefSeq and is a predicted model, not a curated record.
CCUAACAUGUCUUGUUGUCAGUGGUCAAACAUCAUUGACAAGAGUUCAAAUUGAGAUUUAACAGCUGUCUGAUUUUGUACAAAAACUAGUUUUAUGUGACCAUCAUGUCUAAUAAGGUUUCUUUGUCUUGGUUUUUGUUAAAACAGGAUUCGAUGGAAACUCUCCUGGAAAUGAACUAAAUGAGCUAAAGGAUUUUACAGAUGAUGUGAAGAUCUCUGAACAAGAAACACGUGCUGAUGUCACACAAGAAGAGACACCGAGACCAGAGCUCAAAGAAGAUGAAAGUGAACGGUUAAUUUAUGUUCAAGAGACUGCCAUUAGUAAAGCAUUUGGUGCUGA